Molecule: ribosomal RNA, 301 nt
Filed under: uncultured bacterium
Lineage: Bacteria
Description: partial 16S ribosomal RNA
Rfam family: Bacterial small subunit ribosomal RNA
Source: RNAcentral
CAGCAGCCGGGUAAUACAGAGGGUGCGAGCGUUAAUCGGAUUUACUGGGCGUAAAGCGUGCGUAGGCGGCUUUUUAAGUCGGAUGUGAAAUCCCUGAGCUUAACUUAGGAAUUGCAUUCGAUACUGGGAAGCUAGAGUAUGGGAGAGGAUGGUAGAAUUCCAGGUGUAGCGGUGAAAUGCGUAGAGAUCUGGAGGAAUACCGAUGGCGAAGGCAGCCAUCUGGCCUAAUACUGACGCUGAGGUACGAAAGCAUGGGGAGCAAACAGGAUUAGAUACCCGAGUAGUCCCUGUCUCUUAUACA